This 301-nucleotide ribosomal RNA is filed under the name uncultured bacterium. Its description in RNAcentral is "partial 16S ribosomal RNA". It matches the Rfam family "Bacterial small subunit ribosomal RNA", at positions 509 to 808 of the family's 1533-position model. The record is from RNAcentral.
CAGUAGCCGCGGGAAUACGUAGGGUGCGAGCGUUGUCCGGAAUUACUGGGCGUAAAGGGCUCGUAGGUGGUUUGUCGCGUCGUCUGUGAAAUUCCGGGGCUUAACUCCGGGCGUGCAGGCGAUACGGGCAUAACUUGAGUACUGUAGGGGUAACUGGAAUUCCUGGUGUAGCGGUGAAAUGCGCAGAUAUCAGGAGGAACACCGAUGGCGAAGGCAGGUUACUGGGCAGUUACUGACGCUGAGGAGCGAAAGCAUGGGUAGCGGACAGGAUUAGAUACCCCAGUAGUCCCUGUCUCUUAUA